UACGUAGGUGACAAGCGUUGUCCGGAUUUACUGGGCGUAAAGAGCGCGCAGGCGGUCGUUCAAGUCGAGUGUGAAAGCCCCCGGCUCAACUGGGGAGGGUCACUCGAUACUGAUCGACUCGAAGGCAGGAGAGGGAAGUGGAAUUCCCGGUGUAGUGGUGAAAUGCGUAGAGAUCGGCAGGAACACCCAGGGGGAAACCAGUCGACUGGGCAUCUACUGACGCUGAGGUGCGAGAGCGUGGGGAGCGAACCGG
RNAcentral lists this ribosomal RNA (253 nucleotides) under uncultured bacterium. RNAcentral's name for it is "partial 16S ribosomal RNA". It matches the Rfam family "Bacterial small subunit ribosomal RNA", at positions 524 to 776 of the family's 1533-position model. The record is from RNAcentral.